Molecule: long non-coding RNA, 317 nt
Organism: Nerophis ophidion (straightnose pipefish)
Lineage: Eukaryota; Metazoa; Chordata; Actinopteri; Syngnathiformes; Syngnathidae
Exons: 4
Source: RefSeq, a predicted model, not a curated record
GUCUUUUGACACUUCUUCCACUCCCGUCCUUGCACGCUACACCGCUACAACAAAGAUGACGGGGAGAAGACGCUGUCGAAGGUGAGCCACUGUCGACCACGUCCACAGAACCCACCGAUGAGAGGAACAGAGUCGGAUGUUGCGGGCAUGAUCUCAGCCACCAGGAGCAUGAAGACGGUCGGAUCGCGGGGGCAGCAACCUAAGCAGAAAAGCCCAGACUUCCUUCUCCGCAGCCACUACGUCAAGCUCUUCCCGGGGGAUCCCAAGGCGUAGAUGCACAUGUGAGGCGGCAACAUGCAAACUGCAGGAACGAGAAG